UUAUGGCUCAGGAUGAACGCUAGCUACAGGCUUAACACAUGCAAGUCGAGGGGCAGCAUGAAGUUUGCUUGCAAACUUGAUGGCGACCGGCGCACGGGUGAGUAACGCGUAUCCAACCUUCCCUAUACUAGAGGAUAGCCCGGCGAAAGUCGGAUUAAUACUCUAUAUUCUUCGUAGAAGACAUCUGAAAUGAAGCAAAGGUUUACCGGUAUAGGAUGGGGAUGCGUCUGAUUAGGUUGUUGGCGGGGUAACGGCCCACCAAGCCCACGAUCAGUAGGGGUUCUGAGAGGAAGGUCCCCCACAUUGGAACUGAGACACGGUCCAAACUCCUACGGGAGGCAGCAGUGAGGAAUAUUGGUCAAUGGACGAGAGUCUGAACCAGCCAAGUAGCGUGCAGGAUGACGGCCCUAUGGGUUGUAAACUGCUUUUAUACAGGGAUAAAGUGACGUACGUGUACGUUUUUGUAGGUACUGUAUGAAUAAGGACCGGCUAAUUCCGUGCCAGCAGCAGC
This 511-nucleotide ribosomal RNA is filed under the name uncultured bacterium. RNAcentral describes it as "bacterial SSU rRNA". It matches the Rfam family "Bacterial small subunit ribosomal RNA", at positions 17 to 518 of the family's 1533-position model. The record is from RNAcentral.